RNAcentral lists this ribosomal RNA (832 nucleotides) under uncultured bacterium. RNAcentral's name for it is "bacterial SSU rRNA". It matches the Rfam family "Bacterial small subunit ribosomal RNA", at positions 68 to 893 of the family's 1533-position model. The record is from RNAcentral.
GGCAUCGGGAUUGAAGCUUGCUUCAGUUGCCGGCGACCGGCGCACGGGUGCGUAACGCGUAUGUAACCUACCUAUAACAGGGGCAUAACACUGAGAAAUUGGUACUAAUUCCCCAUAAUAUUCGGAGAGGCAUCUCUCCGGGUUGAAGACUCCGGUGGUUAUAGAUGGACAUGCGUUGUAUUAGCUAGUUGGUGAGGUAACGGCUCACCAAGGCAACGAUACAUAGGGGGACUGAGAGGUUAACCCCCCACACUGGUACUGAGACACGGAUCAGACUCCUACGGGAGGCAGCAGUGAGGAAUAUUGGUCAAUGGACGCAAGUCUGAACCAGCCAUGCCGCGUGCAGGAAGACGGCUCUAUGAGUUGUAAACUGCUUUUGUACGAGGGUAAACUCACCUACGUGUAGGUGACUGAAAGUAUCGUACGAAUAAGGAUCGGCUAACUCCGUGCCAGCAGCCGCGGUAAUACGGAGGAUUCAAGCGUUAUCCGGAUUUAUUGGGUUUAAAGGGUGCGUAGGCGGUUUGAUAAGUUAGAGGUGAAAUCCCGGGGCUUAACUCCGGAACUGCCUCUAAUACUGUUAGACUAGAGAGUAGUUGCGGUAGGCGGAAUGUAUGGUGUAGCGGUGAAAUGCUUAGAGAUCAUACAGAACACCGAUUGCGAAGGCAGCUUACCAAACUAUAUCUGACGUUGAGGCACGAAAGCGUGGGGAGCAAACAGGAUUAGAUACCCUGGUAGUCCACGCAGUAAACGAUGAUAACUCGUUGUCGGCGAUACACAGUCGGUGACUAAGCGAAAGCGAUAAGUUAUCCACCUGGGGAGUACGUUCGCAAGA